UCAGCUUUGAACGCAGUUGGAUGUGGUAUUACACUCCUGGGAUGUACAUUCUACGGGUAUGUGAGGCACAUGCUCUCUCAACAGCCACCACCUCCAGGAACACCACGAACACCCCGAACUCCAAGGAAUCGAAUGGAAUUGCUUCCCCUUGUAAAUGAUAAAUUAGAUGAUAAAGUCUAAAAACUAGGUCGUGUAUGAGGUUCGUAGCAGUUGGCACAGGCGUAAUACAAAUACAAGGGGGAAAAUGGAAAAACACAACUUAACUUUGUUUUUCCAAAAAAAAAAAAAAAAAAAAA
RNAcentral lists this unclassified non-coding RNA (296 nucleotides) under Hevea brasiliensis (rubber tree). Lineage: Eukaryota; Viridiplantae; Streptophyta; Magnoliopsida; Malpighiales; Euphorbiaceae. The record is from RNAcentral.